This 458-nucleotide ribosomal RNA is filed under the name uncultured bacterium. RNAcentral's name for it is "partial 16S ribosomal RNA". It matches the Rfam family "Bacterial small subunit ribosomal RNA", at positions 338 to 795 of the family's 1533-position model. The record is from RNAcentral.
CCUACGGGUGGCAGCAGUGAGGAAUAUUGCUCAAUGGGCGAGAGCCUGAUCCAGCCACGUCGCGUGAGGGAGUAAUUCCCUAUGGGUUGUAAACCUCUUUUGUCGGGGAGCAAAAGCCGGACGUGUCCGGCUGUGAGCGUACCCGAAGAAAAAGCAUCGGCUAACUCCGUGCCAGCAGCCGCGGUAAUACGAGGGAUGCGAGCGUUAACCGGCUUUAUUGGGGUUAAAGGGUGCGCAGGCGGAUUUUUACGUCAGCGGGCAAAUCGUGGGGCUAAACCCCAUCCAGCCGUUGAAACUGGGGGGCUAGAGUGCGCGAGAGGUAUGCGGAAUGCGUGGUGUAGCGGUGAAAUGCAUAGAUAUCACGCAGAACCCCGAUGGCGAAGGCAGCAUACCGGUGAACAACUGACGUUCAGGCACGAAAGCGUGGGUAUCGAACAGGAUUAGAUACCCCUGUAGUC